GACGAACGCUGGCGGCGUGCUUAACACAUGCAAGUCGAACGGAAAGGCCCUGCUUUUGUGGGGUGCUCGAGUGGCGAACGGGUGAGUAACACGUGAGUAACCUGCCCUUGACUUUGGGAUAACUUCAGGAAGCUGGGGCUAAUACCGGAUAGGAGCUCCUGCUGCAUGGUGGGGGUUGGAAAGUUUCGGCGGUUGGGGAUGGACUCGCGGCUUAUCAGCUGGUUGGUGGGGUAGUGGCUUACCAAGGCUUUGACGGGUAGCCGGCCUGAGAGGGUGACCGGCCACAUUGGGACUGAGAUACGGCCCAGACUCCUACGGGAGGCAGCAGUGGGGAAUAUUGCACAAUGGGCGGAAGCCUGAUGCAGCAACGCCGCGUGCGGGAUGACGGCCUUCGGGUUGUAAACCGCUUUCGCCUGUGACGAAGCGUGAGUGACGGUAAUGGGUAAAGAAGCACCGGCUAACUACGUG
This 468-nucleotide ribosomal RNA is filed under the name uncultured bacterium. RNAcentral describes it as "partial 16S ribosomal RNA". It matches the Rfam family "Bacterial small subunit ribosomal RNA", at positions 28 to 507 of the family's 1533-position model. The record is from RNAcentral.